GAUGAACGCUAGCGGCAGGCUUAAUACAUGCAAGUCGAGGGGCAGCGCAGUGUAGCAAUACAUGGGCGGCGACCGGCAAACGGGUGCGUAACACGUACGCAACCUACCUUACAUUGGGGGAUAGCCUUUCGAAAGGGAGAUUAAUACCGCAUAAGACAGUAGCUGGGCAUCCAGCAGCUGUUAAAGAUUUAUCGAUGUAAGCUGGGCAUGCGUCCAAUUAGCUAGUUGGUGAGGUAAUGGCUCACCAAGGCAAUGAUUGGUAGGGGAACUGAGAGGUCAAUCCCCCACACUGGCACUGAGAUACGGGCCAGACUCCUACGGGAGGCAGCAGUAGGGAAUAUUGGGCAAUGGACGCAAGUCUGACCCAGCCAUGCCGCGUGCAGGAUGAAGGCGUUAUGCGUUGUAAACUGCUUUUAUACAGGAAGAAACGACUCUUGCGAGAGGCAUUGACGGUACUGUAUGAAUAAGCACCGG
Molecule: ribosomal RNA, 474 nt
Filed under: uncultured bacterium
Lineage: Bacteria
Description: bacterial SSU rRNA
Rfam family: Bacterial small subunit ribosomal RNA
Source: RNAcentral